GCCGACGUGGCGGAAUUGGCAGACGCGCUGGACUCAAAAUCCAGUGGCCUCGCGGCCGUGUGGGUUCGACCCCCUCCGUCGGCACCA
This 87-nucleotide transfer RNA is filed under the name Verrucomicrobiota bacterium. RNAcentral's name for it is "tRNA-Leu". It matches the Rfam family "tRNA". Rfam says of the family: Transfer RNA (tRNA) molecules are approximately 80 nucleotides in length. Their secondary structure includes four short double-helical elements and three loops (D, anti-codon, and T loops). The record is from RNAcentral. Lineage: Bacteria; Pseudomonadati; Verrucomicrobiota.